UACCAGCAUUUGGAAGAGAGAAGUUUGGGUUCAUGGACCUCUGGAGGUCAGUGCAGGGGAAGAUGUAAGACAGUACAUCCAGGGCCUAGCUGAGGAGGCCCAGAUCCGUCAUCUGUGGAAGGAGGAGAAAACCCAGGAAGGAAGACAGGAGAAAGCAAUCCUAGUGGGAGCCCUACGUGCCAGCAAUCAGCACACUUGGGAGCCCUUGAAAAGAGAAAUAUAGACACUGGAAAUCUGAUCAAAAGGUAUGUAUCUUAAGCAGCACCAAAAUUAUGUAUUCUCAGAUUUUAUAUUCUAGAGAUUUUCAAAGUCAAAACAGUAUUGCUUAAAGGUGGCUAAUCUUUCUUUGAAAGGAGGGUCUGUUUGUUUUUUGCCUUUUGCACUAGCACUUAGAACAAUGCCUGACACAUAAUAUGCAUUCAAUAAAUGCUAGCUGAUUGAACA
This 444-nucleotide long non-coding RNA is filed under the name Monodelphis domestica (gray short-tailed opossum). RNAcentral's name for it is "lncRNA (ENSMODG00000040462.1)". The record is from RNAcentral. Lineage: Eukaryota; Metazoa; Chordata; Mammalia; Didelphimorphia; Didelphidae.